This is an RNA transcript of Corvus hawaiiensis (hawaiian crow), 21746 nucleotides long. It is a transcript of the gene named zinc finger and BTB domain containing 1, with no coding region annotated. The record is from RefSeq and is a predicted model, not a curated record. Lineage: Eukaryota; Metazoa; Chordata; Aves; Passeriformes; Corvidae. The transcript is spliced from 3 exons.
CCGCCCGCGUGGCUCCGGGGCUCGAAGUCGCGGUAAACACCUCGAGUGCCGCUAUCGCGCCUGGCCCCGGCCCCCACGGUGGGUCCCGCCGCUUCUCUUCCUUUUGUCUUCACAAAAUAAACGGCCCAAAACUUCGAGUGAGUUGCGGUAGUUUAGCGAAAAACGGAGUGGAGCUGCAGCCCGGGGGGAAUGCUCCACCCUGCCAGGCGGGAGACUUGGGUUUCACUCAGGGCUGGCAGUGCGCUGGAUCGCCGUGGAGGCGGCUGGAAAGGAAGGGGAAUACUUUUGUCACAUAAAAAACAAGCCCCGUACUGCUCUGGAAGCGGUGUGGAAAGUCUCGUUCUUUAAAGGACUCCUCUUUUCUUCUCGGAUAGAAAGGUAGUUGAAGAGAGUAGAGGAAAGGGGACUCAACACGCUCUGAGUUUGGGGCUGCGGUUUUAUUCCUCUCUCUUUUUCAGGAUUUUUUGUAACUCAGUUUCUCAAGUUUACCCUGUUUCAGCUGAUACAGGAGUGCCGGUUCCUCUUGACACGUAGGCGUUGGUAAACGGGUAGCAUGGCUUGGAUGCUGCUUAAUAUUUGGAUGUUUACUGCCAGGUUGUCAUUUGCUUGUAUUAUUUCCCUCGCACUUGAGUAUCGCAAGGUACAGCAUGCACUGCAAAACUAUCCGGGGUUGCAACAGUGCGGUGUUCCGUAGGCAUUUAAUUACACUAAACAAACAUUCCUUUAAUUAAAGGUGUUUGUUUAACAUUCCUCAUUACAGCUCUUGGAAAAACCCACAGAGCAGCCGUGAGCAGGGGGAUGCGGGCUUCUUGUUUUUACCGAAUUACAAGUUAAGCUUUCAUGGCGAGCGGGGGAGAGGCGUUGGGACCAUAUGGCCAUGGGGAAAACCGGCCAAACACGAGCGGUUGCAGAGAUUUUCCUAGGUAGCAGCAGCACAGCGAGUUGACAAGAUUGUGGAGAGAUUUUUGGAUGGCUGGCCAGAAAACCUGAGGAGUAACAAGUAGCAUUAGUUGCACUCUGCUGCUGUUUUGAGGUAGCAGGGAACCCAGCAGGCACCCACUGCGAGGGUUGGAUGCAGGUAAUGAAGAUGUGGGUUGGUGCUGCGUGGGAAGCUCAGAGAAGUAAUAGAAGCCACUUCUUCCUAGUAGCCAGAAAGUUUUGUGUGGAAUAAGAUCACAGACUUAACAGAUGCUUCAGCUCUGCUUGUACAAGUCUUUCCCUUCAUCAGAUACAACCACUGUUGUCACUGGCACAGGAAUUAGCAGCGAUUACAUUGAGAGUGCUCAGGCCAAACAGGGAUUUGGGUUUUUAGAUGCUUUCUUGCUUGAAUGUGAGUGGCUGCUUCUUUCACAGAUUUCUGUUCUUGCUGGUGGUGGAGAGCCCUGGAAAUCCAGGAUGGACAAAGCCGCAGUAGCUAUUUACCUGCUGGAUGGAAAUAGAAUAGCUGUUCAGAACUGAGAUAGUGAAAGUUUCCUGAUAAAAGCCCGGUGUCCUUUCUCUUAGUUGUUACAGCUGGGCCUCUUACUAGAGUUGUUCUGGCUGUCACACACAUGUAGAGUGAAAAGCCAUGUGUUCAUUUUUCACUUUGGCCAGUGGUUCUCCAGCCGCUGGGUUAUUCUGCCCUGCCUUAGCUUGGGAAUGGUAGACACCAUCACCCAAAGAGUUCUGCUGCGGACACAGCAUGUGGGCACAAAAGCUGACAUAAUUUGCAUGAAGACCAUUUAUAUCCUCAAAUUUGUCUGGUAAUUUUUUCUUUGUGCAUGCAGUGUCACUGCAAAACUCCAGAAUUCACUGGCUGUGGCCUUUUCUCCCCCAUAUUAGACCUCUUUCAUUGGAUGAAGACCUUAGUAGCCUUAUUUUUAUUUUUAGUGUGCUGAAAGUAAAAUGUGAAGCAUUUAAGACCAGGAAGAGUCAAGAAAACCUGUAGUCUGAUCUGUGUGUCACAAGUUACUGUGCUUCAUUCAUGUGCAUCCAGCAACUUGUUACACCAAAGUCUGACCUGUAUUUAGCCAAGGAUCCUUUCCUGGAAGGCACCUGUGACUUUCAUUUGAAGGUCUCAAAACGUGGUUAAACCACCAAAAUGCCUCCAGAAGUUUAAAGUUGGUGUAACUUGGAGAGCCUAGAUAAAAAGGCUCAUCUUUCUGCUACAGAGCAUAAAUUGGGUGUUAUAAUUUUGUUCCCACUAAUUGUUUCUUUUAAACAUAUCAUUACUAUGUUGCCUGAGAACUGUAAAGGUGCCAGAUAAAAGAUAACUGUGACUUUCUAGAGUCAACCUUUGUGGCUAGCAAGUUACUUUAAAGGACUGCAUAAGGUCUCUCUCUAGGACUUUUACUCCCUAGAUCUGAUCUAAAGUUCUUUGAAGUUGAGAUGGGGCUUUAGCACAAACUCAGUUUUCUUAUUUUUUUCCUGUCAAGCUGUAUUCCUUGUCUUUUGAGGAGCGUUCUUACCUAAGACCAUGUAAUGUUCCUUAACUAAUUUUCAGUUAGCAGUUGAGAAGCAUAACUUGCUAAAAUUUGAUGUCUGUUUCUCAUUUGUGGACAUGGAUGCUGAAUCAGCAGAGAGCUGCUGGCUGAGCAGUGGAGAACAGGGGCAUCCAGGAGCUCUGACAGCUCAUGUUGGGGGCUUUGGAGCAUCUUCUCUUCCCCUCAUUCAGAUCUAGCCCAAGUGCCAUGAAACUUGUUCCUGUACAUUGUCCAGGAGUCUGUUUAAAAUGAGCUUCAGCCAUCGGGAUGUGUCUGAAGAUGAGUAUCUGCAUCAUUGAAAUCAUUUUCCCAACUGGCAUGUCUGAAAGGCAGGUGAUUGGAAGGGCUGUGAGAGGAGGAUAAAUUAUACCUUUAGUCCUUCAUAGCCUGAAUAAUGGAGCUUAAUUACAUUUUCCCUGGCAGUACAUGGAAUUCCCAUAGCUGUUCUAAUUUAUGAGCAAGGCUAUGCUUGCAAUGCAAACUGAUCCAUACUCACUGUUGAGAUGGACAGUUGUUACCUGGCCCCAAGUUCUUCACUGUUUUUUCAGUGUUUGUGUAAACUGAGGGACCCAAUUCUCUGUGGCUUCCUAUUGGGUAUAUUUAGGUAAAAGUUGUAACCUGUCGGCAGCUCUGUGGUCAGUGCAGUAGCUGAACACAUAAACUUCUUGGGCAUUGUGUGGGGAAUUUAUACUUGUUCUGUAGGAUUUUCUGCAGCAUGCCAAUGCUGUCAUUUUAGGAAUCCAGGCUUUUUGGUAGAUCUGACCCACAAUGGCAAAAUUAGGGGGAAGAGUUCUUGGGAACCCGCACCAGGGUGGGAUAUGGAGAGAGACGGCGAUGGGGGAUUUGCUUUCUGAUCCUCUUGUGCUUGCUUUUUGGAUAACUGGGCGUUGUUUGCUUGAGGUUUUCCAGUCUCAUUUUCUAUUAGCACUAAAUUCUCCACUCAUUUAUUACACUUUUGUCUGGCCUGUUCUUGGUUUCCAGUCGCUAAGCAUGUAAGCGCUAUGUUUUUGCCUGCUCAGCAGUGGAAAUGCUGGGUUUUGAAAACCACCUACUAAUUUUAGGAGCCGAAAGGCUCCUGAAUUCUGAACCUUGUGGUAUGUCUGUUUUAAAGACAGAGAAGUUAGGAAAAGAACUUCACUAGUUCUUUGCUUGAGGACUUUUUUUACUUCUUUUGUUUUAAAACAUCUCAGAAAACUUUGAGUGUGAGGAAAUGAUGGCAUGGAGCUGUAGUAAAUACCUGUUUUUUCUUGUUAGCAGACUUACAAACAACAUAAUUGGUUAGUGUAGUAUUGCAACUUAACCUUGUUCACGGUCACAUCUGAAUAGUAUCUAAGUGGGGCCUCAAAAAAAAAAAAAGUCUGGUGGCAGACAAGCUUGAAUUAAAGCAUGGCCAUGUAAAAAGAAAUACUUACUAGGGAAAUAAAAUGCAUAUGGAGACUUGGAGUUUGACUAUCAGAGUGAGAAUACCCAAGUCAAAUACCUUCAGUUUUCAUAUCAGAUGCUUUUCUAGCACAUUAUUUCAGAACACCUCUGCAUCAUUCAGGAUUGCUUACACUGUGGCCUGUGCUGCAUUCACCACACAAAUCAGUCACCGCUGAAGAUGGAGUUACUUGGGUUCCUUGUGGACUUGUGAGCUUGGUGCCUCCAGGAUUUGGAUGCUUCACAAAGUGUGCUAGUCCACUGGGCAAGUGGCGGGUGAUUCUCCUCUCUUUGAAAAAGAGGAUCAGAAAUAAUUAAAAACUUUGGAUUGACAAACUCACCUGCAUGGAGCUUUAAUUUUCCAAGAUACUUGGUGUUUAAUACAUAUAGAGGAUAGCUCUCUCUGGCCUCAGUUGCCACCAGUGGUGUUGACCUAUGUGAAUAAAUUGGACAUCCAAAAAGUGCAAGCCAGGCUUAUUGAAAAAAAACCCAAACCAGAAGGGUUGAAAUUACUUGUCCUGGCGUUGACAGCACUGGGAGGAUGUUCUCCAAGCAAUGUUCAUUGCUGUGAGAUCCUGCUUUUUGUCCCCCACCUCUCAUUCACUUCACAUCCUCCAAAUGCUUGGCCAAAUGAGCAGGGAUCUUGUCUUGUGCUGCUCAGAUCCAGGCCUGGACAGAUCCAGAGGUUGUGCUGAGUAAGGGAAAUCUUGACAGGAGGGCUGGAAGAAUAUACUAUGAAAUAUAUAUUAUAUAUGUAUAUAUACAUAACAUAUGAUAGGUACAUAAACAGCAGCACAAUUACUCCUGCAUUAAUCAGCAUUUCUUGUGUAUACACUUAACUUUGAAACCUUGAAUUUUCUGUAAAAAGACCUGUUUUCCUUCUAAUACCUGCUUUUUUUUUUCCUAAAGCAAACUUCAGAAAUAGUUUGCAAUACUGAUCCACCCACAUGAAUGAUAAAUGCAGAUUGCUGCCAUUUUAGCAAUUAAAGUAACAAAUAAUGAUAAAUUACCAUUUUCUGAGAGCUUGUUCUUGUUGGGAAGGAGUUUGUCAGCAAGCCUGUCAUGUUUGUUGGUGGCAAAGGGAUGGCAGGAUUGGGAAUUUGGGGUGCAGUUCCUGCUCUGAAGGCGUGAAUGCUGUAAUUGUUUUCCACCCAUUCCCCAGAAACAGCUUGUCUGUGUUUUUUACCCCUUGUGCCCUAGGCCCUGCAGCCUGGCUCUUCCCAGCUCCUUGCCCAAGUGACUUCUUCCCUCCACUGUUUAGACCCUCACUGCACCCAUUUUUAAUUCCCACUGCUGCUUCCUAAUCCUAGUCCCCCUCCUCUUGGCUCAGCACUCCGCUCCUAGCCUGCCUCUCCUUUCUCUCCAGAUUUCCAGAGCAUUUCCGUCACGUCCUUCUUACAUUUCCCAAUCUCCCUGUGUUUUCACUACAUCCCCUCCUGGCUCUGGCUCUCCCUCAGUCAGAACUGUCCAUCUUCUCCAUCAGCUACCAGAAGGGAAGCUGAGACCCCAUGGCAAGUGGUGGUGUGGAGCAGUCCCCAGGAGGCUCUACUAUCAGCUGUGACUUCGUGGAGGUGGCACAUAGAAUCAUGGAAUGCUUUGGGUUGGAAGGGAUCUUUAAAUGCCAUCCACUCCAACCCCCUUGCAAUAAACAGAGACGUCUUCAACAAAGUCAGGUUGCUAAGAGCCCUGUCCGACCUGGCCUUGAGUGUUUCCAGGAAUGGGGCAUCCACCACCUCUCUGGGCAACCUGUGCCAGUGUCUCAACAUCCUCAUAAUAAAAAAUUUCUUCCCUCUAUCUGAAUCAAUUCUUUUGUAGUUUAAAAGCAUGGCAGAGCUCUGUGCAAAAGGGGAUUUCACUGCGGAGGGCUCAGGCACCUAUAUACUAAGCAGCUGCAAGAGGAUGAAAUGUUCUCAGCGAGGCUAUAAUCUGAAGUUUUAAUAACUACUAACAAAAAUUUUAAGUGUGAAUAAACUGAUAAUUUGUAUCUUCUCCCCCUCAAGCAUAUAGCUUGGCCAAAUUCAGGCAGAUUUUUAUAUUGUGACAACAUAUCUAAAACAUAAUGCUUUCUCCCACAUAAAGUGUCUCUUCAAAGAUUUUGGAAGAGAAGCUUUUAUUUUUAAUUUCUAAAUGAAAAAACCAAUAAUCUGCAUAUAUGAAAGCUUUUUCUUAGCCUCAUUUUUGGAACCAUUUUGGCUGAGCUUUUCUAUGGAGGAAGGAAAAAAAGUAAUCAGUCCAAGGUUUCAGAAGGAAAGUUUUGCUGUUGCUGGUUGAAAUGUGUUGAAGUUGUAAAUAGCCCAACACAGGCUCUCGUAGUGGCAAGUUACAUCCAGCAGGUUAAUACAGCAGCCAGAGGGAGGAUGCCAGGAGUUUCAUUAACAUAAAUAACCUCAAACACUCUGUUUAAUACCUACAUGUAGUACUACUGUGACAGAGGCCAAGUACAUAUCAAAUCCAAAACCUUGACAUCCUACUCAAGCAACCUCAUGCUCCACCCUUUUUUCCCUGAGUGGUAGCACUGGCAGUGGGUCAUUGUUGCAAGUCAGGAUCCAUGUGCUGAAAGCUUUGCAGGACAUCAUCUGUCAAAAGGAGAAAUAUCUUUUACCAGAUUCAAAGAAGAAGACCUGGAAAAGGCGAGUUUUUGUGCUGUCACUCAUUGUUCCCGCCAUCUGGAAACAACCCCGUGUGCAGGUGCCUGCAGACAGUUUGUGACCACCUGUUUUGUACAGGCUUGCUGCUUGUACUGCUGUUUUGCUAUUGGAGGACACAAUGGAGUAUAUCUAGUGUAAAAAACCCACAAUUAAAGAAAACAUUUGCAACUUGCCACUUUAUGAGGAUGGGGAAGUUAACAUGAGCUGUCCUGAGCCUUUUCUUGUUGUGUUGGCAGCUCACACCAAGAGGCCAGUCGUGCCUUUGAUGGCAUCAUCUCAUUUUCUCAUUGGUUUUCACUCUUAGAAUGUGAAAGUUGAAAUUAAUUCUUUAUCAUUAUGCAGCUGCUAUUCUUAGUACAAUAGACUGAGUUACAUUUAAGCAUCUAAUGAAUUGCCUCAAAUCCAAAACACGUUACCACUUGAAAGAAUAUGAAGUGCACUUUUAUUAUUACUUGAUGUCGAGAGCUUUGCUGUUUUUCACAGAAACAUCUGAAAUCACCCAGUGGCAUAAACAAUAAUCAGUUUCUGUAGAAAAGAUGUGAAGUUGUUUCAGAGAUUCUCCUACUAAAGCCACUGCCUUGCAAGUUAGUAAAAAGACAUUAAGCGAAUUCCAUGCAACGAGUUGCAUUUCUGCAGUGGACACCACUGGGCGAAACCAGUCUGAGAAUUAUUAUGGCAGGGUGCUCACCUGGAGUUCUGGGUGUGAAGGGUUGGGUUGAGAGGAGAGGAGCAUCUGCCAUUCAGAUGCCUGUCAUCAGUGUAGUUCAACCCAAAUCUCAACGUUCCUCUUGCCAGACAAGAUCUUGUGGUGGUGGUGAUCCACAGGAACUGCUGUGUGAGUUGGCAGUAGGGAAUAUUGCUGGGUGGGGUGAGCAUGUUCUUUUCUCGAGAGCUUGCGAGCCUUUCUGCUGUGGCAGUCCUUUGUGGAAUGAAGAACGGGGACUUAAUGUUAGGUUUGCUACUUAACAAGCCAGGCAACGCCUAUGACUUGCGAAUUCAACACUAAUUGUGGAAUUCAAUUUCUCUACCCACGUUUCCCCCUAGGAGAUGUAAGCUGUUAGGAAAAUAAGAAAAGUGGGGCAUUUUUGUGUGUAUUGUGUUCAAAUUUUGGACAGUUGAAAGAGUGGUUGCAAAUCAAUCCAUGCAUUUCACUGAGUCAUAAAAUGCCCUUUAGUAUAUGUUAUUUGCUAGCCUGUACUUUAGUUGUACAAACCUCUUACAAUUAUUUGCAUUGUUUUCAGUAACCUUUCAAAAUGUUAAGAAUCCUCCUUACUGCUUUAUGUUUUUCAUUUCAGUCAGGGUGCUCUCUAUACCCUCUUCUGGUUUCUCACCCCCUCAGCCUGUGCAGUUAGAACAGAUUAUGUGUAUCAGUAAAGGCUGUCCAAAGUGAGUCAUGACUAGGUUUGGAUCUGGCCACAUUUGUUGAAGUUUAUCUUUAAUCAAACGCACACCUCCUGUAUGCAGUGCAUUUCUUCUGGAUUUUUUUUUAACAUAAACCAUGAUAUUUUCUUCCUCUUUUCUCUUGAGGACGAGUUAGUCCUUUCACAUAGAGCAACCCUCAGCACUGGCAGACCUUUCUCUCUGGUCUUUGCUGAGGCUUCAUUUCACCAUGGCUCCACCUCUGGCUUGCUGGUUCUCUCAGUUCUCCAUUGCCGAGCUUUUCUUUGUCCGGUUUCCCAGCUACGUGUUUUGGUUACAUUUCAGUGCUCUGAACGAGUGGUUUUGAGAGCAGUUGGAGGCACGGCGUGCACCACUUCCUGCCUCUGCAGUCCCUGUGGCUGUCACGCAGCUUGCCUGGUCACCAUCUGCAGCGGGCUCGAACGUGGGACGUGCCACCACAGCCGGGCUGCCCUCUGCUUCUGAGAAGGUGUUUGAGUUUGCAGUUCCUGGUUUGCAGGACGCCUUGCAGAGAAAGUUGAGAUGAUCCCUCAGCUGCCAUGAAGAGCGAAAUGUGGAGUAGCUUGUGGCUGUAAUCGAAGUACAAGAUGGCAAAAACCAGCCAUAGCAACUAUGUCCUUCAGCAGCUAAACAAGCAAAGAGAGUGGGGCUUUCUGUGCGACUGCUGCAUCGCUAUCGAUGAUAUUUAUUUUCAAGCACAUAAAGCAGUCCUUGCUGCCUGCAGCGCCUAUUUUAGGAUGUUUUUUAUGAACCAUCAAAACACUACAUCCCAGCUGAAUCUAAGCAACAUGAAGAUUAGCGCUGAAUGCUUUGAUCUUAUUUUACAGUUCAUGUAUUUAGGAAAAAUUAUGACAGCCCCUGCCAAUUUUGAGCAAUUUAAAGUGGCCAUGAACUAUUUACAGCUAUAUAAUGUACCUGAGUGUCUAGAAGAUAUACAGGAUACAGACUCAUCUAGUUUAAAAUGUUCAUCUCCUGCUUCUAGCACCCAGACUAGUAAAAUGAUAUUUGGUGUGAGAAUGUAUGAAGACGCACUUGCUAGAAAUGGCAGUGAAGCAAACAGGUGGGGCAUGGAGCCGCCAAGUUCAACGGUAAAUACAUCCCAUAACAAAGAGCCUGACGAAGAAGCUUUGCAGCUCAACAGCUUCCCUGAGCAACUGUUUGAUGUCUGCAAAAAAAGCACCACGUCCAAAUUCUCUCACACGAAAGAGCGCGUGUCACACUCGCGCCGGUUUGGAAGGAGCUUCACCUGCGACAGCUGCGGGUUUAGUUUUAGCUGUGAAAAGCUACUGGAUGAGCAUGUGUUAACAUGCACCAACAGGCAUUCCUACCAAAGUGCCAGGUACUACAGUGCUGAGAAAAUGGACUUUAGUGAAAAGAACUCUACUUCUAAAAUGAUCUCCACACAAACAGAAAAAUACAAGGGGGACUCAAGCCAUGCUGUGGACGAUUCUUCAUCUCCCGUGUCAAACAUCACGAGCAGGAAAAGCAGCACAGUUGCCUCUGAGACAUCAGGUGAAGAAGGAAGUAGAGCCUCUGAGAGGAAGAGGAUUAUCAUCAAGGUGGAGCCAGAGGACAAUCCUACAGAUGAGCUGAAGGAUUUUAAUAUUAUUAAGGUGGCAGAUAAAGACUGCAAUGAGUCUUCUGACAAUGAUGACCUGGAUGAUGAACAGGAAGAGCCGCUUUACAGAUACUACGUCGAGGAAGAGAUGAGAGAGAAGAGAAAUGCUCGGAAGACUCUAAAACCUCGUUUAUCCAUGGAUGAGGAUGAAAGAAAGUGUUUGAAAAGUCCACGGCACCUUAACAGCAAGGCUUCUUCAGUGCAGGAAGAUGUGGAGAAUGCUCCCUGUGAACUUUGUGGGCUAACAAUCACUGAGGAAGAUUUGUCCUCUCAUUAUUUAUCCAAACACAUAGAAAAUAUAUGUGCUUGUGGCAAGUGUGGUCAAAUACUGGUCAAAGGCAAGCAGCUACAGGAUCAUGCCCAGACCUGUGGAGAACCCCAGGAUCUGACCAUGAACGGGAUCAGAAAUUCUGAGGAGAAAAUGGACUUGGAAGAGAACCCCGAGGAGCAGUCAGAAAUAAGGGACAUGAUGUUUGCCGAGAUGCUAGAAGACUUCAGGGACAGUCACUUCCAAAUGAACAGCCUUCAGAAAAACCAGUUAUACAAGCAUUCUGCCUGUCCUUUCCGAUGCCCUAAUUGCGGCCAGCGUUUUGAUACUGAAAACCUAGUGGUUGAACAUAUGUCAAACUGCCUGGAGCAAGAUCUGUUCAAGAACUCCAUGUUGGAAGAGAAUGAGAGGGAUCACAGACGUAAGCAUUUCUGCAACCUUUGCGGGAAAGGAUUUUAUCAGCGUUGCCACUUGCGGGAACACUAUACCGUUCAUACCAAGGAAAAACAGUUUGUUUGUCAGACAUGUGGGAAGCAGUUCUUAAGAGAGCGCCAGUUGCGGCUCCACAAUGAUAUGCACAAAGGCAUGGCCAGGUAUGUCUGUUCCAUUUGUGAUCAAGGAAACUUCCGAAAACAUGACCAUGUACGGCAUAUGAUAUCUCACUUAUCAGCUGGAGAGACUAUAUGCCAGGUCUGCUUUCAGAUAUUCCCAAAUAAUGAGCAACUGGAGCAGCACAGGGAUGUUCAUCUGUAUACAUGUGGAGUAUGUGGAGCAAAAUUUAAUUUGAGGAAAGAUAUGAGAUCUCACUAUAAUGCCAAGCAUUUGAAAAGAACAUAAGCAUAAACAUACUGUUAAAGCAUUAAGUUGGCAGCAGAGAGAACACCAAAGCAAAGCAUAAGUAUAGUAAAAAAUUUGAAAAGGAAAAAAAAAAUUUGAAAAUAAGUCUCUUUUUUAUUAUUUUUUUAAGACCCUCCUAACCAUAGGUGUCUAUCUAGGCUCAUUAAGUAUAAAGCUUUGAAAAGCAUAAUGUGUUUAAUUAUUACAUUUUCACUGUUUCCUAAUACCAGUUUCUGUUCUUAAUUUUAUUGUUUUACUACGUAGAUAUACAAAUCAUUAUUUUUAAACUGUAGAUUAAAAGCACAAUGUUACCCCUUCACUGACUGCUAUUAAACAGUUCUCGGAUCCAUGUCCGUAAGAUGAGUGCUUUAAUAUUUCCAUGUGUUGUUUCUUCAUGUGAAAAUUUUAGAUCCCAGCGAUUAAUGUGCAAGAACAUAAUUGUUCAUAAUCCCCAAAUUAAUUUUUGAAAUGAAAAAAAAAAAAAAGAAAAAAAACAAACCCCAAACCAGCAAUGCCAAGAAAUAAUCCUUUGGUCCUCUGACUCUGCUGCAGGGGCAGAGCUGGCUGUCCUGGUUCCCUGCUUCUUGGCUUUGUUGGAAGGUGCAUCCCAGGGGUGUGAGCACAUAGGCUCAGUUAAACCUCACAGGCUCGGGCUGGUAUGCACAAGGGGGAAGGGACUUAAUGACUGUCGGGAUAACUGAGGGGUUCCAGCACAGUGGUCAUUUUCCAGAUGGGAAGUCCUAGCAGAACUGUACAACUGAUGUUGGCCUUUCUUUCACUGUCUGUACCUCUGUGGGUAUAUUUAACUUGCUUAUCCUAACAUACAAGGGAGGAGUGGCUGUGGUGGGUUGCUAGGAAUGCAGCAUGGCCAUGUGCACUGAAGACUGCAUUUUCAGCCUAGCUGGGAACUGUGCCUUGCUGCUUGUGUUGGCAAGUUAAAAGCAGGAUGGGUGUGAAGAUAGUCCCAUUGCUUGGGACCUUAGGGUUUUUUUGUUUCUUGUUUUCAUGACACUUUAUGAAUGUUCUGUUUUUCAACAAGAAUAUAACAAGAAAAGACUGCAGAGUUUGCUUAAUAAAUGUAAAGAUACUUUAUGCCUUUUAAGAUUCCUUUCUGAUUCUAGCAGAGCCCUAAUCUAUGCAGCUUGUCUCUUAAUUGAAUUUAAAAAUCUUACUAAGUACCAGCUGACACCAAUUCAGUGAGGCACUUUGGCCUUUGAGAGAGCAACUGGCUUUGACUCUUAGGCACCAGCUGUCUAAACCUUUGUUAAGUGUGUGAUUUGUGAUGGGGUGGAGGAAAGGAUCCUAAUACGUAAUCGUGGAAAAAACAAAAAAUAAAACCUAGUUGUACUUUCUCCCAGCAGAUCUCACUUUAUCAAAGAGGGUGGUAAAUGCUAUUUCCCACUGAGCUAUGGAGGGAGGAAAGUAAUUUAGAUCAGCAAUUAAGGCAGUUGGAUUAGAUGAUCAUUGCAGGUCCCUUCCAACUGAAAUAUUCUAUCACCUCAUGUGCCAGUGGUGGGGUUGAGAAUAUGAGCCAGGAGCUGACGGUCUAGUCCAGGGCUUUCACGUGCUUGUUUCUGUCAGAGUUGAGUUUCAUUCCUUGUUUCUUGGGGAUUAUGAGGGGUAUCAAGUUUUAAUUUUAGACUAUUCAGAGACGUGAAUACAGUUCAGAAUCCCCACUUUAACUGUUAAAAUUAGUGUGAGUUGCCUUGCAUUUAUUCAGUUUUAAAUGUGCAUUAGGAUUUCUCUUGGUCGGCAGACAUGUGCAUUUCUGCAGUGAUGGAGAAGGCUCCCCCACCAGCCCUUGGUCCUGAGCCAUCAGCUGCUCCAAGGCACCAACUGCUUUGGGUGCAGUUUAGUGGGCUUUUAGUGUUUUGCUUACCUGCUCAGUCCUUUGUUUUCCUGUAUGAUGCUGAAGCCAACCGAGUCCUCAAUAGCACUGGGGCCAAAAGUGCACAGGCACGCAUACACUCCAGCACUCCAGAGCUGGGGGGUUCAUACACUGCACACAGUGACUCUCUGACAUGCAGGUUAUCUCUCACAGUAUCAGCUGGAUUGGGAAAAGCAGUCAAGGGAAGUGAAGGAGAACUGGAAAGCACUGGGGCAACUGGCAGGAGGGUCUUGUGGCAUUGGAGGAGUGGGAAGACUGAGUGGGAGAAGAGAUCCUGAGUGUGAGGGAGUGGCAAAGGCAGGCAGGCAGGAUUAGAGCAAUGCAGUGGGAAGCAAAUCCCAAAGGUGGCGUGGAGCGGGUGGCUGGAGGAGUGGAUAAAAUGUCCCGCCUGUGAGACCAGGGUGAGGAUGACUCAGCUUGGCUGGGGAGCUGUGGGCCUGAGCCAUGAGCUCACAAACGCGGGUUGCGUACCAAGCACGGCCGGCCCCGCUGCCCACAGCUCUGCAGGGGCACAGCACAGCCCAGAUUAAAGACCUUGUCGAAAAGCAGGAGGUGACCUCUGCAAUGUAAGGGAUCAGUCCUGAAUUCAGUGAAGGGCUAGGGGUGAUUUAUGGAGCCACCUGCUCAGGAUCAGGAGCCCUUGUUUACAGCCUAUUGGUCUGAACUUGACCUAAACAUGCUUCUUAAAAAAUUUGACUUUCUAGUGUAAGUAGACCUGCCAACUACAGAAGUUAAAUGGAGAAAAUGGGAAUGAUGGUAUUUACGUGUAUUAUCUAAGUUUAUAAACACCCUGAGUACCUCUGUUUUUCAGUUAUGUGUUGUAGUAGCCUUUCAAAGUAAAGUUUGUUAAACCUUUCCAACUGAACUUGAAUUGAUGUUUUUUUUCCUGUUCUAGUGGAACAAAACCCAGUGCCUUGGAGUUCACACGUAUUAAAGUCCAUGCUAAGGCUCACAAAGAGCCUGAAUUGCACUGCAGGGAAUCUUAAGAGUGGAUCUAUUUACAUGUAGGCAGAGAAAAUCAGAAUGACUGAAGUAGCCUGAGCAGUGAUCAAGGGGAGUAUAGGAGAACAUAAACAAGUCAGCCUGGCUUGCAAGUAGAUGGGUAUUUACAUAGAUGAGUAUUUAAGGUGACAUGUAAAAGUGUGCAGGGGAACAGCAUGGGACUGUUAGGGAAAAGGCCUGGAGUGACAGGAGGAAUUUGGCUGCUGUGAAAGGGGAGAAGGUCUGGGUGCUGAGGCAGCCUGGGGCUGGCUGCUCCUGAAUGUUCUCCCCAGAAUGGGACAACAUCUGCAGGAGAGUGAAAUAAUGGUGUUUCAGUGGUCCUACCAUGACAAAAAUGAUUUAAUGUGGAGACAGAACAAAAGCAGACAUGAAAAAAAAUCAACAUCAGUUAUCCUAUAAGUUUUGCUGUUACUUAAAAGAUAGUGAACGGGAAGCAAAAAUAUUUUAUUUAAGAGUUCUUUUCCUCUAAUUUAUACUUUCCUGUUGCCAUAACAUUGUUCCUUUGAAUCUCCUUAGUGAAUGUUAGCGUGUAAAAGCACUUAAGGAUCUUUAAAACUGGAGGUGCAAGCAUUGCACAAGGCGUAGCCAGAAAGGAAAAGAUUUGCUGGAUGCCCUAAGUUAUAUUUUAAAGUGAUUUGCUAUUCUUAUUUUUGGAGGACCUCUCUGUGUUCUGUUGUUUUUCUCAUUUUGGCAGUGCUACGGGCCGCAAUCCUAAGAAUUUCUAAGUGGCUAGUCUAGCUCUUAGCUUUCAAGAUUUACUGGAAGUUUUAAAAAGAGGGAAUUCAUGAAAACACCCGGUAUGAGCUUUAAAAUAUCACAAAAGCUGUUGAGCUUAUUUUUCAGUAUCAGAGGAGAUGUUUAAAAUGUUAAUGUAUAUAUAUACUUGUAAAUGCUUCCUGCUGACUUGUUAGUUCAAAGAGUAUUUACAUUUGUGUAUAAUGUUAUUUGUAGCCAACAGGUCUGUGGAGAAAUCUUGAUUUCAAUAAAUAGACUAUCAUGGAAUUCUAAGAAUUUAUGCUUUAAUUAGGGGACUUCUCUAUUUAAUAUUUUCAGUUGAUGUAAAACGUAUAAUUUAGCAUAUUUUUUAUUCAAAGCUGAAAACAGAAAAUAUAUUGCCCUGGCGAAUAUAUUAAAAAUACAUUGUUAUAAAAGUGAAUAGUUUGACUACACGAUUGUAUUUGAAUAUUCUAGUGCUAAACCAUCAAGAGUUUUGGAGCUAUUGGUGAGGACACAAAUUUGCUCCUGGAGGCAAUGCCACCUUGAGCCCUGGCAGCCCUUUACUUCUCCCCAUUAGUUUCAGCUCUCCUCUCCCCUGUGUGCCACCCUUUCCAUUGUCAAAAAGCACGUAUCUAUGUAGCUUCACAAUGAACUGAAUCAAGCAAUGGGCUUUUUUCUAUUCCCUGUGGGGCUGGUUUUUGGCUGGAUCAGUUCCCCGCUGUGCUUCCCUCUCCAUCUCUGUGUCAGAUCUUGUGCAAGCACUAUAGAAGGGGUGGCACAAGGGGAGGAAUGAGUAGCUCGGAGGGGGCUUGUUCGCUUAAACGAGCUGCACCAGUACUCAGAGCAUGUCCCAAAUUUAACUCGGUCUCUGUCUCCCCCAAGCAUCCUCUGGGAAGCUGAACUCUUCACAUUCAUCUUCUAUUUCCUGAUAAGGAAAAAGGCAGCCCAACCUCUUACAAAUGAGACACAUCUCUGCUAUCUGCCCUCUUUUUGAGAACUGGAAACCUUCCUGCAUUCAGCUCAUCCCACAAAUAUGCUCUGGAGCUUUCUUAGUGUUUCUUGAAGCAGACUGGGUAGUGCUCCGUGCCACUGGGUUUGUGUGGUUGGCCUGGCCCAAGGCCAGGAAUGAGCUGGGCCCCUUGUCUGGCCAAACACCAAGGAAUGGCUCCCACCUUCCUCUGGCCUUCCUGCCCUCCAGCUGUGGGCCCAGAUGCAGCUGUGGAGCUCCUCUGUUGCCCUGUGCCCCUCACUGCUUUUCACAGUAAGAGGAGACAGUCGUCUCAUUUUUGGUCUAAUGCUGAAAGCUCAGGGUAAUUCCGUGUGUAAGUUUAGCUGAUGCUGGCAGUAUCUGUUACUAUCCCUGUGUACUUCUGACUUUUAAGUGCUUCUCAAUCUCAGAGAGUUAAAAAUCAAAUCUUCUGACUUCCCUAAUUCUCAGCUGGUUUGAUGCUUGUUGCAGACUUAAAGACCUACAAGAUGAAGCAUGACUAAUUUGACUUCAUAAAGUCUGCUUAAGGCUAGAAAUUAGGAACAUGUUUUCAAAAGCUGACAUUUCUGUAGUUCUCAGCUAUAAACCAGUUUUCUGUAUUUUCUUCCAGCUUCCAAAAAACUCCUAAAAUGUUGCUGUGCAGUGUAUUCUUGAGACGUGUGAGUAGGCUGAGAUUUUGUAGGGGAAAGAUGCCAAAAAUCAGGACACAUUUUAUAAAUUAAGUGUCUUUUGCUACUUUUACAGCCACUUCCACAAUUCUGGAAUUAAUUGUGAUUUGAUUUUUUUAAUGCAGAAAGACAAACCUUAAUUUGUAACAGGGCAGCAGAGCUCAUGACUCAGGAAUCACUUCAUCAUGACUAUAAAUAUUCAGCCCUGAAACAAACAGCCCAUGUUCCUUUUCAUGUACUUGAAUGACCAGUGCCAACUUCAUAGGAGAAAUGCUAUCAGAUCUUUAUUUGGGUUAUUUUUGCCCUCAAAUAUCUUACAGGGUGGGGAUUUUUAAAUUAAUUUAAGACAUAAGAAAACUAUGUUGUGCAUCAUGCUUUUAGAGAAACUGCUUUCAGUAAUUCACGCCGAUUCCCCAUGUAAGAGUGGUUGGAAAUGUGUUUUUAAAGUUUCAUAUUAAUGUAUUAAAAGGAAUAUAACAGAAUUGUGAAAUGAGAAAUCCUCAGAUAGUCCAAGGCCAGGCUUUGACUGUUUCUUUUGUGUAGCCAGCAUGGCACACCUCACCCCACCAACCCUGAGGUUCAGACGUGGUCAGGAUCUUUGAUUCUCUUGCGAGAAAAUGAAAAGGUUUAAUCCUUUCCUGUGCCUUCUGGCAUACUAAAAACCAGAGUAAAUCUUCCUGCAGCUACAACCACAAAAACAAUGCUGCAUCUAGAAUUUCCGGUGGGAGAAAAAAAAAAGAAAUAGUUCAAGAACUUCCCUCUCUGACAAAGUCCUGCUGCAUUUAUUGUUUUCACUCAAACUCAAGUGUGAUUUGCAUCAGUGAGAUUUUGGGGUGUACUUUCUUUUGUUUGCACAUAAGACGUGAUUUCAGAUAAAUAUAUCUUGUAGUUCUGUAGACAUCCCUGACAGGGAAUGAGAGCAUCCUUUACAGGCCUCUAAAUCCUGGAAGCUUUGUAGAUUACAGGAAAUCCACUGGAAAUCGGGACUGUUGUAAAUCCUUGGUUUCUCGACUUGUCUGUCAGGAAAAGUGCCACCAGUGUCAGCAAUUGCCAAGGUCUCUGCAGCAGCCGCGAUGCCAACACAAAAGAUACAAAAAUCAGUCUUUCCCCCUCUCUUCUCCCCCAUCUCCCCUGAUGACAAGGUUACUAUUUUAAAAACACAUCCUUUUGGCUCUUCUAUUUGCCUUCUGUUUUAGAAAUGGGAAGAUUUGCUUUCUUCCUGUUUUAAAGCAAUGACUAGGGCUAAGAAGUUGCCUUUUUUAAUAGUUCUCACAUGUUCAGUUGAACUACACACCUCAGUAAUACCUGUUCUCUCCUUUUUAGGUAACCAUCCCACUGCGGGUGGUCACCAGAGGGACUUCUGCUUCUGACUCCCCAGAAAAUGAAUGGGAGAAAUAACAUACUGUCCUUCUCUCCAUGGCAAAAGCCCCAAAGAGCAUGAAAGUUUGUGGAAAUGCAGAUAAGCUGGCUAAAAAUAGAGUUUGCUGAAUACCAUAAAUUGCUUUUGGUUUUGGCAGCAGAUACACCAGACUUCUGGUAUCAGUUACGCUCCUCUUACACAAGUUGUUGUUAGGGCUUUUAUUUAGGAUGCUAAAGGUGGUGCCCUGGUUUCUUCCCUGCCUGUGGGUUUCCUACUGGUACCUACCGGUACAGAGUCCCAGCUUCCAAACUACUGAGGUUCUGGUUUCUAGCUAUUGGUUAUUGAAUUACUUAUGCAAAUCAGAAACAUUUUAAGAGAUAAAAUCUAAAGUAUCCCUCCUUUGGGAAAAGGAUAAAUACAGUAAUAUUGUAGGAAGAGGAAAUACAGGGUCGGAUCUGGUGAAACUGAUGAAGAAAUUAUCCUACAGCUCAGGAGAGAGCUCAGAUGUCUGAACUACAUUGUUAUCAGGUGGAUUUAGUAGAAGUUGUGUACACUUACAUAUGCUGUAAAAUAUGACACUUAAUAGUCUGCAUGCCUGGAAGUCUGAGGGUUAGCCCCACCUAGUCUGCUUUCAGACAGAUUGUGUUUCACUUAGAUUUUACUGGCCAUUGCUGACACGGUCAGUUCUGCCAGAAAAGACAGAGGUCCUUAUGCAGAGUAACUUAAAAACUGGCAAAUAACUCAGUCAAGACACAAGAGAUUUUACAGUAAUUGUUACAGUUCUUUCAGUUUUAGUUUGCUGUGCAAAGAGUUAAAUAGUUCAAAGGCAGUUUCCUUUGGAGAAUGUUUAUUUGAUCAAGUUCAGUGUGGCUUAGACCCCAAAUAGCAAUACCAGCUUCAAACAGAGCACUACUAUGAGAGAAGGAAUAGCCUGUGGCCUUCCAGACCUCACAAGCUAUGUUGGUUUGUUACACAGAGUCAAAACAAAGAUGUGCCUUAGAACAGAUAUACAUUAACUCAAUGUAUUUCACACACCACAUCUUUUAUCUCCCAUCUGCUUCUCUCCCUGGUCCUUUGGGCUGUGACAAAAUCACUGAGAUCCUGGAUGAACUACAGACUCCUCAGUGAAAAGUAUAUAUGAUGUGAUUGGACCAUCCAAGCUACUUAAAUUGUUAGAGAACAUUAGAGGAGCUACUGCUCCUGUUUACUAAGUCUGAAGUAUCCUUUGGAUUUUGGAACAGUGCUUAUCUUUGCUUCUUGGUUCCCUUUACAUUGCAGGAAGCAGGGUGAGGAAGAACCCAGUGGGUGCUUCUCUUAGAUGGAGCCUGGAAGAUCAGUCUGAGGGGUCUUGUUGUUUUGUUUUUUCAGGUCCUUAGCUGGCUGAAUCUUCAGACUUCUAAUAAAUGCACUAGGCCUUAUACAAGCAUUAUUAAUGCAUGAUGAGAUACACCAAGUUCAGCCACUGAAUGUAAGAGUGGAACCCAUGCAGAUGCUGUUAGCACAGGAACCUGGUAUCGGGCCAAAUCUGGAGAGUUAUCUUUGAUCUGUCUCCAGAUCCUCCUUUUAUUUGAAAACAUCCAGCUAAUCACAGACUUCCUCUGACUUUGAUGAAGUGGAAGGAGCCGCAUCCUCUGUAACCUCUGGGAAGGGCUGGAAUUCUGCAGACGCUCAGAAUGCGGGGAUGGGGCUUCCGGCGCCAUCUCGUGGCAUCCAAGGGCUGGAAUGCUUCAGUUUGCCGGGAAGAGGGUGAAGCAGAUCCUCCCGGCAGCUGUGCAUCCCCAAACAGCUCCUGUGCUUCGGGAAGCUGGGCGAUUUUAAGGUCUGCGAGGAGGGCACAACGUUUUAUCGCUAAUCUCCCUUCCUGUGGGCUACAGGCUCUCGGCAAUGCCAGGAGCUCUGUGUGUGCUACACCCCACCCCACCACAGUUGGCACUGAUUAGCAGCGUUUCUGCUGUCUCAUCGGAAAAAUGUGAUUUAAUACUCACAGGCAGCCCACCUUCCCGCACUCAGAGGUGGUCCCACACAGCACAGCCGAUGUAUUUGAGGGUGGUGGUGGAAUGGAGCUCAGUCGAGUGUGUGAGUUGUGUAUGGUCUGCAAAUGACAGAGAUCUUGGACUGCAAAGUGCAGGCCAGCAUGGUAAUGAACAGCAAUGUUAAACACUGAUGUUGCCUAGGGAAAAACAGUGCUCACAGGCUUACUGUAGUUAGAACAGCUUUUUUUCUCCUUUGUUAAUUUCCAAAAAAAGAAAAAAAGGUACUUCCUGACCUCUGAGCUAGUCAUGUAAGAGUUACUGUGCAAUAACAGCACCAGUCCAGUGAAUUGCCCUCCAAGAUCUUAUGAAUGUGUUAGGCAGACACAUGGCCCUGCUGCCAGAACCAGCAGUACUUUGAAGGUAGCACUUUGCCCAAGACCUGCUUCCCCGGUUCAUAUUGCCCUCAUGGCACAAAACAAAAGCCUUUUUGCCCACCAUAAGUAUGUGACAUGGCACAGAGGGCAGGUAAAAUACCAGACAAGCCUGGGCCUGGCACAUGCAGUGAGUGAGGGCCUGGCCACGGUGCACACCGAGGUGUGGAGCAUUACUCGAGGCUUUCCUCUCAGAGGUGUGCCAGGAAAUUCAGCCCUGAGCUGGCCUUGAGGAUGCUCUGGCAGUAGUGAAAUAGGGACUUCUAAGCUUCUGAACAACUGAGAGAACCAGAUUUGGAGAAGACAUGAGGAAGAACUGGUCGGCAAAAGAUUUCAUAAAAACUCAGAACCUCGUGUGCCAGAUCUGACUUGGCACCACCUUUGCUUUUUUGACAUACUGCAGCAGUCGCAAAAGGCACCAAAGCAGUCAAAUUAGAACAUGCAGUAAAAGUUGUUUUGGACUCUUCUCUGUAUUAUAAAUCUUACUUCCUUGUGACUAUUACUUACACCUGUAAAAAACAAAUUUGAAGUCUUUCAUGGAGCAGACAGCCAAAAGAGGCAGAUGCCAGGUGUUAAGGGCUGCACUGAAAUGAAUUUACAGAAUUUCUAUUCACACGCUGGAGUGCUCCUUUUCUGAAACAAGGCUUCUUAGAGUUGCUGUCAAAAACUGUUUAGAUUUUUUUAGUUCAAACAUUACAAGUGUAUACUCAUGUACAAUGCUAAACUAUCAAGUAUUUAAAAAGAAAAAAAGAAAAAGGGGUGAAAAAAAAAAACUUAAAAACUGAGGACAGAGGGUCCCUGAGGAAGGACAGGAUGGUGAGAGAGAUCCAGCUGACUUGAUUUCCCCUGCUGCCAUGAUCAUCAUUUGCAAGCUGAAGAGGACCUUCCAUGGAGCACAGUGCUUGCAUGUGGAGAGUAAAGAAAUGGUGCUCUGGUCUUAUAAAAAGAAUCAUGAAAAUUUUUUACCAACAAGGAGAUGAGUAAAUGUGAAAUAAUCUUCACAGGGCACAGGGUGCACCUUUUUCUGGAGCUAAGCCUUGCAAAAGCUUGAAGAAGAGAAUCAGGCGUUCAUGUUCAGAUUUGAACAUUUUAGGAAUACUAAUGUUUCCAGCUAAAUUAAUGGGAGGGAAAAAACCCUAACCAAAAACCCAGUAAGGCAGUAAAUGUUCCAAAUUAGGGCAAGCAUGAAUUAUAAAAAUAUUAAUUUCUUUUGCUUCCCUCAGACAACAGUGGAUCUAUUUAAGACAUGUAAGCAGACUAAACAUGCUGAUUAUAUUCUGCUGUAGUUAUGCAUCUUACUAAUUCUACUCAUGAUUAUAAAAGGAUGUUUCAUUGUUCACUAUAACUGUUAUCUCAAGAAGAGUCUGUCUAUAAUUUUAUUUAUAAUUGGCAUCAUUUUCAUUACUGUUGUUACAAAGUGUGUACAAUAUUGUCUGUAUUGCAGCUUGUAUAGGGCAUGUGUCUGUGCUUGCUUUACUCUUUUUGAGUUUAUAAAGUUGCUAUACAAAUGCAAGAAAAGAUGUUCAGAUAUUUUUGAAUGUGGUUGCUUAAUCUAAUUACGUAGCCCCCAAUGUUUCAGCAUAUAGAUGUUGAAGGAAUCAGCUCUAUUAACACAUAACACCUUAAACAUUAAUGUAGGUAUUUUAAAAGCCUUCAGUGCAGCACUGAAAUGCUGACACUUCAGUCCCAGGAGCAAAGGGGAGGAUGGUGAAUAUCUGGGCAAAGCUGGAUACCACUGGGGACUCUGCAGGGAGAAGGCACAAUAUAGCUGGGAUAUCUAAUAGUAAAUGGGAUGUCCUUUCUAUAGAAAACAUGAAGGACCUUCAGAGUAGACUACCACAAAGUAGACCACCACAAAGAGGAGAGAAGGGAAUCCAUUUAUAGCAUUGCCUUCAACAGUAUACAAAGUGUAGGACAUCUAGAACAGGCUGUGACUGUUCUGUAACUUAGCAAUUACUUCUAGUCUAUGUAGAGUAUCAGUAAAGACAUUCCAGGUUAGUUAUCAUCAUCUUUAAAGCUUAUUCUGUGCUUUGCGACAGUAUCUUUAAUAAAAAACUCUUACAAAUCUG